CAAUAGCGUAUAUUUAAGUUGUUGCAGCUAAAAAGCUCGUAGUUGGAUUUCGGGUGUGAACGGCCGGUCCGUCUUUGAUGUGUACUGGUUGGUUGCGCCUUAUUGUCGAGGACAUGUUCUGGCUUUCAUUAGCUGGACAUGGAGUCGGCAGCGUUACUUUGAGAAAAUUAGAGUGUUCAAAGCAGGCUAUCGCUCUGAAUACUACAGCAUGGAAUAACACGAUAGGACUCCGAGCCUAUUCUGUUGGUCUUCGUGACCGGAGUAAUGAUUAAGAGGGACAGUUGGGGGCAUUCGUAUUCCGAUGUCAGAGGUGAAAUUCUUGGAUUAUCGGAAGACGAACAUCUGCGAAAGCAUUUGCCAAGGAUGUUUUCAUUAA
Molecule: ribosomal RNA, 376 nt
Filed under: uncultured eukaryote
Lineage: Eukaryota
Description: partial 18S ribosomal RNA
Rfam family: Eukaryotic small subunit ribosomal RNA
Source: RNAcentral